AGAGUUUGAUCCUGGCUCAGAAUGAACGCUGGCGGCGCGCCUAAUACAUGCAAGUCGAGCGAGAAGACGUAGCAAUACGUUUGUAAAGCGGCGAACGGGUGAGGAAUACAUGGGUAACCUACCCUUGAGUGGGGAAUAACUAGCCGAAAGGUUAGCUAAUACCGCGUACGCUUCUUGGACUUCGGUUCAGGGAGGAAAGCGCUACCGUGGGUAGCGCGCUCUUGGAUGGGCUCAUGUCCUAUCAGCUUGUUGGUGAGGUAACGGCUCACCAAGGCUUCGACGGGUAGCUGGUCUGGGAGGACGAUCAGCCACACUGGCACUGCGACACGGGCCAGACUCCUACGGGAGGCAGCAGUAAGGAAUAUUGCGCAAUGGGCGAAAGCCUGACGCAGCGACGCCGCGUGGGGGAUGAAGGUCUUCGGAUUGUAAACCCCUUUCGGGAGGGAAGAUGGAAUGGGGUAACCCAUUCGGACGGUACCUCCAGAAGCAGCCACGGCUAACUUCGUGCCAGCAGCCGCGGUAAUACGAAGGUGGCAAGCGUUAUUCGGAUUUACUGGGCGUACAGGGAGCGUAGGCGGUUCGGUAAGCCCUCUGUGAAAUCUUCAGGCUUAACCUGGAACAGUCGGAGGGGACUGCUGGGCUAGAGGACGGGAGAGGAGCGCGGAAUUCCCGGUGUAGCGGUGAAAUGCGUAGAGAUCGGGAGGAAGGCCGGUGGCGAAGGCGGCGCUCUGGAACGUUUCUGACGCUGAGGCUCGAAAGCGUGGGGAGCAAACAGGAUUAGAUACCCUGGUAGUCCACGC
This 800-nucleotide ribosomal RNA is filed under the name uncultured bacterium. RNAcentral describes it as "bacterial SSU rRNA". It matches the Rfam family "Bacterial small subunit ribosomal RNA", at positions 8 to 800 of the family's 1533-position model. The record is from RNAcentral.